GGGUGCGAUCAUACCAGCACUAAUGCACCGGAUCCCAUCAGAACUCCGCAGUCAAGCGUGCUUGGAUGAGAGUAGUACUAGGAUGGGUGACCUCCUGGGAAGUCCUCGUGUUGCACCCC
Molecule: ribosomal RNA, 119 nt
Filed under: Gossypium hirsutum (cotton)
Lineage: Eukaryota; Viridiplantae; Streptophyta; Magnoliopsida; Malvales; Malvaceae
Source: RNAcentral